AUUCCAUUCCAUUCCAUUCCAUUCCAUUCCAUUCCAUUCCAAUCCAUUCCAUUCCACUCCACUCCGGUUGAUUCCAUUCCAUUCCAUUCCAUUCCAUUCCGUUCCGUUCCGUUCCGUUCCAUUCCAUUCCAUUCCAUACCAUUCCACUCGGGUUGAUUCCAUACCAUUCCAUUCCAUUCCACUCGGGUUGAUUCCAUUCCAUUCCAUUCCAUUCCAUUCCAUUCCAUUCCAUUCCAUUCGUGUUUAUUCCAUUCCAUUCCAUUCCAUUCCAUUCCAUUCCAUUCCAUUCCAUUCCAUUAGUUUCUAAUCGGGUGAUUCCAAUCCAUUCCAUUAUAUUCAAG
RNAcentral lists this long non-coding RNA (341 nucleotides) under Homo sapiens (human). RNAcentral's name for it is "HSALNT0319531". Lineage: Eukaryota; Metazoa; Chordata; Mammalia; Primates; Hominidae. The record is from RNAcentral.